RNAcentral lists this long non-coding RNA (520 nucleotides) under Gallus gallus (chicken). RNAcentral describes it as "lncRNA (ENSGALG00010000929.1)". The record is from RNAcentral. Lineage: Eukaryota; Metazoa; Chordata; Aves; Galliformes; Phasianidae.
GAUCCCUGUUUGCCUGAGGCUUUUAUGAGAAUUCUACAAGGGAAAACAGUCUUGAUGAUUACGGAAUUCUUUUAACAGUGAUAGUUCCUACUGAUACCAGUACUCAUAUUGCCAACCUGAGUACUCAAAACAGUGUCUUCCUGGGAAAUAAAACAUUAGCUGUUGCAUUCUGAAUGGAGUGACUUCAUACUGAUUGCUACCAGUUGUACUGUGAAGUACUUCCAGAAACAACACUUCUGGGGAAUAGCGAACAGAAACUUUAUAGAAAUAUGACAAGUUCCUCUGUUUUUCAGUAUGACCUUUGAGGUCCACAGGUACUUGGAAUUAGGUUGAUUGUAGUUAAAUGGGUCAGUAUUGCAAAAUCUCAAUUCUGAAGAUGAAUGCACUUCAUGUCUUGCAGUGACAAAUGGAAAAAUGGACAUUAUUUGAGUUUAAGUUGCUAUAAACAGUUCAGGUGAAUAUUGAGAUCGAAAUAAAUAUACCCUCAAAAACAACACACCUUUUAUCAUUUAAUUUGCUG